AAGGAGAGAAGGUGCGCGGUCUCCUCUUCAGUUAGUGACCAUGUCCUUGUUGUUCUGCCCUUCAGAAGAUGCACCUGAAGGAGAACUGGUGAGAUCCAUCCAGAGGCCAUCAUCAGACCCUGUGGAGGAAGGAGCAGCAGGGUUUCCGAGAGCACCCCGAAGACGCCUCCUGAGAGCUCAGAGUGACCACAUCUGGCGGAAGAAAGAAAAAAUGUAGUUACUGAAUCCAAUCCAGUGUUUGUGUCUCCCGCAUUAUCAACAGAGGUGGUCAAGAAGGUUCCAGUCAGCCCCGCGAACACAUGGAUAUAGAAGGAGCCACAUGAAGGUAAGGAGUCUCUGUUGUCUUUUCCCUGCUUUCCCUGCAGACAAGGGUAUAUUUACCUAACCUUGC
Molecule: long non-coding RNA, 391 nt
Filed under: Chinchilla lanigera (long-tailed chinchilla)
Lineage: Eukaryota; Metazoa; Chordata; Mammalia; Rodentia; Chinchillidae
Description: lncRNA (ENSCLAG00000022995.1)
Source: RNAcentral